This 449-nucleotide ribosomal RNA is filed under the name uncultured bacterium. RNAcentral describes it as "partial 16S ribosomal RNA". It matches the Rfam family "Bacterial small subunit ribosomal RNA", at positions 29 to 523 of the family's 1533-position model. The record is from RNAcentral.
AGCGAACGCUGGCGGCAGGCCUAACACAUGCAAGUCGAACGAUGUAGCAAUACAUAAUGGCAGACGGGUGCGUAACGCGUGGGAAACUUUCUUUUAGUACGGAAUAGCCCAGGGAAAAUUGGAUUAACACCGUAUACGCCCCACGGGGGAAAGACUUAGCGCUAAAAGAGGUGCCUGCGUUGGGUUAGUGAGUUGGUGGGGUAAUGGCCUACCAAGACGAUGAUCCAUAUCUGGUCUGAGAGGAUGAUCAGCCACACUUGAACUGAGACACGGUCCAGACUACUACGGGAGGCAGCAGUGGGGAAUAUUGGACAAUGGAGGCAACUCUGAUCCAGCCAUGCCGCGUGAAUGACGAAGGCCUUCGGGUUGUAAAGUUCUUUUAGUGGCGAAAAUAAUGAUGGUAUCCACAGAAAAAGCUCCGGCUAACUUCGUGCCAGCAGCCGCCGCAG